AACGAACGCUGGCGGCAGGCUUAACACAUGCAAGUCGAACGGGCACCUUCGGGUGUCAGUGGCGAGACGGGUGAGUAACGCGUGGGAACGUACCCUUCGGUUCGGAAUAACCCAGGGAAACUUGGGCUAACACCGGAUACGUCCGCAAGGAGAAAGAUUUAUCGCCGAAGGAUCGGCCCGCGUCGGAUUAGCUAGUUGGUGGGGUAAUGGCCCACCAAGGCGACGAUCCGUAGCUGGUCUGAGAGGAUGANCAGCCACACUGGGACUGAGACACGGCCCAGACUCCUACGGGAGGCAGCAGUGGGGAAUAUUGGACAAUGGGCGAAAGCCUGAUCCAGCCAUGCCGCGUGAGUGAAGAAGGCCUUA
RNAcentral lists this ribosomal RNA (366 nucleotides) under uncultured bacterium. RNAcentral's name for it is "bacterial SSU rRNA". It matches the Rfam family "Bacterial small subunit ribosomal RNA", at positions 29 to 419 of the family's 1533-position model. The record is from RNAcentral.